UACGUAGGGCGCAAGCGUUGUCCGGAAUCAUUGGGCGUAAAGCGCGUGUAGGCGGUUCGGUAAGUCUGCUGUGAAAGUCCAGGGCUCAACCCUGGGAUGCCGGUGGAUACUGUCGGACUAGAGUACGGAAGAGGCGAGUGGAAUUCCCGGUGUAGCGGUGAAAUGCGCAGAUAUCGGGAGGAACACCAAUUGCGAAGGCAGCUCGCUGGGACGUCACUGACGCUGAGACGCGAAAGCAUGGGGAGCAAACAGG
RNAcentral lists this ribosomal RNA (253 nucleotides) under uncultured bacterium. RNAcentral describes it as "partial 16S ribosomal RNA". It matches the Rfam family "Bacterial small subunit ribosomal RNA", at positions 524 to 776 of the family's 1533-position model. The record is from RNAcentral.